Molecule: non-coding RNA, 724 nt
Organism: Paramuricea clavata
Lineage: Eukaryota; Metazoa; Cnidaria; Anthozoa; Malacalcyonacea; Plexauridae
Source: the annotation of a GenBank genome assembly
GUUCGUCCACGCCUGUUCGUCCUGUUCGUCCGCAACAACGUUUCCUAGUUUGCCCAGGACUUUAGUAGUAAUCGCCCAGGAAAAUUAAACAAUCCAAAAUGGCCACUAUCGAAAUUUUCCUGGCCAUCAAGCCUUAAGACGUCAUUAUGCAUAAGGUCUAUUGAUUUGAUAUACAGACAUUACAGUAAAGCCUUGCCCUCGCAUAAAAGAACCAGUAGGUUAAGAACCACUAGCCUGAAAUUUGGGCAAUUGAGCACCCAAAAUACAAUGUGUUGAAUAUAGAAAAGUAUAGUGUGAAGUAAGACAAUAUACGAACCACUUCAGCCUGAAGUCAAAAUUCACUGGUUCUUUUAUACACGGCUUAAUUACUGCAUAUCAUAUUCCCAUAAUUAAAUAAUAAUAUCAAUAAUCAUUUUACUGUAAUAUAAUAAAUAUAUAUAUAGCUAUUUUUAUUGGCAAUUUUCUAAUUUACAUACAACCUACAUAUUUGUAAAAUUUGAUAUACAAUACCUUGUUGGCUUGAUCUUUUGACAGAAUCAGUAUACAAGUAAUACAACUUUAUUAUUGCCAACCGUCGACGAUUGCCCAGCUAGCAAGAUCACAACCUCGCUAGUAUAAAGUAUAAAAUAUAGCUAGUUCACACAUAGCUAGCAAGUUUGGUACAGUUACAGCGAGUUCACAAUUCACUGCUUUUUUGAAAAACAUAAUAUGAACGGCUCCUUUU